Molecule: RNA transcript, 7664 nt
Organism: Daucus carota subsp. sativus
Lineage: Eukaryota; Viridiplantae; Streptophyta; Magnoliopsida; Apiales; Apiaceae
Exons: 24
Source: RefSeq, a predicted model, not a curated record
AUUCAUUAUUCAAGCACAAUCCUACAAUUUUGUCUCGGACUCGUAUACAAUACCGGACUCCAGUGGUCGUGUGUGUUAAUAUCGCUCGAGACAGCAACCCCUUUGCUUUGGCGCUCUAUGUAAACAACAAAUUCCCUCUUCUUUUCCCGACGCUUCCAACUCUACGGAUUGUAUUUUACUCUUUCCCAUCCCUCUACAUCCUGCUGCUAUUAAGCCCUCAUAUUACACAUAUAAACACAUAUAUACUGUAAUAACUAAUUGAGAGCAAAAAGAUGGUUGAUACAAGAAAAGAGCUGUUGGAUAGAUGGAGAGGCAUUGAAGAGGAAGACGAAAACGACGACGUUGAUACACCGAUUGCUUCUAACAAACGACGUCGUCUCCGCCAACUCAAAGAGAACUGGUUUUCAGAUGCAUUUAGCUUUUUGACUCAUUUGCCAAAAGAAGAUCACAUUUGGUGUGGUUCUCGGGAUUUAAUGGGACCACUUCUAGAAACAUUUUAUAAUUAUUUUGAAGAUAAACGUCAAGAUUCUCCCCUCAAGAUUUUGUGGAAAAGGAUUUCUGAGGAAUUAAGUCAGUGCACACAGUGUAUUUGCCAGCACCAUCAAGCCCAAGAGAGUUACAGUAUGGAGUAUGACUCCAUUACAGUUGGCCCACUUGUUUCUGUCUUGCAAACACUCGAUGAAGAAAGGGUCACUGAACACUUAAAAGAAAUUAAUGCUAAAAUUGGUCGGGGCGAGUAUGAUCCAGCUCGUGUCAAUGCUGAAGUUGUUAGCAUCAUGUUUGAGAUCCUGAUGUAUCCCAUCUUAUUGGAUGACCAAUCAUUGGUUGCUGAGUUUCAAAUUUUUAUUGAAGCAGUUGAUAAUUCUCAUGAGCUCACGUUAGCCGGACAUCAGCGAUAUCCGGGAAUUUAUGCUCUACUUUUCCUGAAAUGUAGAAGGGCAAGGUCCAUUGGUUUCCGACUAGCUGCACAUGCAGGAAAAUUGAGAGAAGCAUCAGAAUUAGAAGGUCUACACCCUUUGCUCCAGAGGUACAUAGGUUUCUUGGAAACAGAAGUAGUUCCAUCAACUACCAAGAGUAAUAGGCCAAGGGUUGAGCUGGAGCGAACAACCAUAUGGCAUGGAAUCAAGUCCUUGCUCGGAUUUUUAGAACCUCCUGCAUUCGAAGAGGGAAUCUUGGAGCACUACCCUGACUUUCUGAGUAUAGUACUUAACCAUAUAAGUGAUGAUUCAUUGGAAUUUUCAUAUGCAGUAAAUUGCCUGAAAAACCUCUUUGGAAUGCUUGGAUGUAAGCUUUGGUUAACGGCAAUAUUGUCUCCAAGUGUAAUCCAUAACACACUGUUGAGUCAGUGUUUUCACACUCGAAAUGAGAAAAGUCACAAAGAUAUUUUUGAUCUUUUUGAGCCUUUUCUGCAGUCCCUCGAAGCUUUGCAAGAUGGAGAACAUGAAAAACAAAGGAGAAAAUGCCUUUUUUUCCUGCUACACCAAGUGACUGUCAGCAGUAACUUCAGCAAGUUAAUGAGGAAAAAGGCUUGUCAGAUAGCUCUUCGCAUUGUCCUUCGAGGUUACCAAAUGAAUCCACCUUGCCCUCCAUUUGAAUGUGCGCAUAUGUGGGGUCCAUCUCUUGUGUCUACUCUCAGAGACACAUCACUUCAUAGUUCUCUUCAGCAACCCGCAUAUGAUCUUAUUCAAACCAUCAUAGUGUCUGAUGCUGCAGCAUUAGUAGCUGCAAUGCUGAAUAGCCAAAGACGUCUAGGUAUUAACAGAAACAUGUCAUCUGAGUUCAAUGAUGAAGUUGAAGAUGAAGAUCAAGGGCUGCCCUUUGCCCUUAAUUUGGAUGAGGAUAUUAGUUGUUGGAAUGAGUUUAGUGCACGGGGUAAAAUUGCAGCAACGGAUUCUGAGUACUGGAUGUGCAUUCCAAUGCUAUGGGCUGAUGUGCUAGUUGAUACUACUCCCUCAGUGCUUCCUCUAUCCUUUUCUAAGGCAGUGUUUUGGGCUUUAUCUCGUCUUUCUAUGGUGGAACCUCCUAGUAAUACCGAAAUGGCUCUGCCAGUUAGACACUGGUUGACAACAUGUGCUUCGGAAAUUUCUCAUCUCUUUGGGUGGAAGGUUCCAUGCAGUUCAGACGAUGGUGGAAAUGAGAAAGAGUCAAAGAACUCAGCUAAAGUCUCAACACUUAGUAUUGCUUUCGUCAGAUCAUUCAAGAGGUUAAGUACUCAUUACAUUGGUCGAAUGGAUCAUGAAGAACUUUGGAGGCAGUGGGCAUGGGAACCAAGGAUGGGUGAAAGCUUAAUCCUGUUGCUAGUGGAACCUGAAGAUAAUGUUAGGCAAGUUGCAAGGCGUGUCCUCGAAAAGGUUUCACAAAGGCGCACUCUUGGUUCUGGCUUGCAGUUCCUUUGCUCCUUCAAAUCUUCACUGUUAGCUGUUUAUCUAGGUUUGAGACAUGCCCUGAAACUGGUUCAACUGGAAUCUGUUGUAUCUAAAUUCCACACAUUACAUAAUUUCUUUUUUGUUCUGUGCAAAGUGCUUAAGGAAGGAAUUACAUGCAACGAAGCCUUACCUGGAAAUAUAGCUGAUGGUGCAAGUACCUCGAGGUUUUCUAAUGAUGGUGGAUUUUUGCAGCACCCAGUUUUUGAUUCUAUAGCUAACAAUUUUGAGGGGCAUCUGUUUGAUGUUGAUUCAUCAACAUGGGAAAGGUUUGGUUGUUCACUAUCAGCAGUUGCGUGGCCUUCUAUUUUAAGGUGUUUGGCAGAUGGAAAGGCAUUUAUAGAUUUGAAGAUGUCCCAGAUGACAUGCAUUCGCCUACUUGAAACGUUACCUAUUAUAUUUGAAAGGCUCCAGUCUUCACUUCACAGCUGUUUGGGAAAUCAAAGAAUACUGGUCAAGCAUGAGAUUGAUUUUAAGUGGCUUCUUGAUUUGGUGGACUGGGGAAAGUCAACACUUGCUGUUGUUGUUAGGUACUGGAAACAGACAGUCAUUUCUUUGCUUGAUUUUUUGAAGAGUUCCUCUGGCAAUAAUUCCUCUGCGAUGAUCAAGGCUAUUGAAAUACUUAUCAGUUCUGAAAGUGUUGCAAUGGAGAAGUUAAUAGAGCAAGUAUUACGUCUGUCUGUUUCAUUGGUCAAUGAAGGAAUGAAGUUGGAACCUCUAUAUUCUGAAGCCUCGUUGUCUAAAAAGCCUACAAAUCGACUUGAACGAUUACUUUCUUCCGAAAAAUCAGACCUACCAAUUUUAGACUCAACAACAUUGAUUAACAAGGAGGAAAAUAAGGUGAUAGUCCUUUCUGAUGAUGAUUUGGAUCCAGAAAUUUCUGCCAACGUUAAUAUUGACUCUCUGUCAAAUCAGUCUAAGCUGGAUUGUAGUAUAAUGGAUAAUAGUGCUUCUGAUAUAUCUCCGCAAAGUAUAUUCGCCCGUGAAAAUGUUUCCAGCAGCAGUAAUUCAGCAGAAAUUAUGAAAGAUUUUCAUCGUAAAGGUUCUCAGGAUCCUUCCAACUUUGUUUCCCAGAAGCUAGAGUCAGAUGCAAAGGGAUGUGUACAAGGACAGACAUCUCAAAUCAAACCAAAAUCUAUGGAAAGCACAAGUAGAAAGACGAAUCCCAACUCGACCAAAAAUGAUUCCUUGAUCUCUCAGAACAAAUCGAAGUUUAAACACCAUUCUGAGAUUAUAACCAGUAAAAAGAUCAUUGAUUGUUUUUCAUCUCAACCCGAGUCCAAUAUAAAUAGCUCAUCACAUGAAAAUACCGAUGUCAACAUAGUGGAUCGACAAGGCAUCAAAAAGGUUGGAAAAGCUGCUAGGACAGUUAUAAGGGAGGUGGUUCAUGAAGCUGAAAAUGAUCCACUGGAAUUAGCACUAAGAUCAGCAUGUCGUCAACAGGCCGUUAUGUCAAAAUUUAACGGUGUUGGUGCGAAACGGCAAGUUAUACAACUGGACUUACCUGUACAAAAUAGAUAUGGGUAUAUACAUAGGCCAGAUAGUUUGCAAAAUCGGUUCAAGCCACCAAAGCUUGAUGAUUGGUAUAAACCCAUUCUAGAACUUGAUUAUCUGGCAAGUGUGGGAUUAGCAGCUCCAGAUGAAGAGGAAAGUAAAACUUCGUGCAUUUUAAAAGAGGUCCCUGUUUGUUUUCAAUCGCCUGGUGAAUAUGUUUCCAUACUCCAGCCUUUGGUACUGGAAGAGUUUAAAGCACAACUACAGAGUUCCUUUAUGGACACGUCUUUUCCUGAGAUGCGUUGCGGAAGCUUAUCUGUGUUGUCAAUUGAGAGAGUCGAUGUCUUUCAUAUAAUUCGCGGUGUUUGCGAUGAGAUUGAUUCCUGUGGACCAAACAGUUGUGUUGAAAAUGAUCUUAUUUUACUCACGAAACAACAAUUACAAAAUGGUUAUCGUGAUGUGCACAUAAUUGGAAAGGUGGAAAGACUUGAGAAAGACAAUAAAAGAAGAUCUAAUACCCUUAUAAUCAGGUUGUAUCUUCAAAAUGGGAAUUCUCGAUUAGAUCGAGCUAGAAAGCUUCUCCUUGUACGAAGCAAGUGGUUCAUUAAUCGCCUUUUGAGCAUCACACCUCAACUAAGGGAAUUUCAGGCGUUAUCAUCAAUAAAGAAUAUACCUCUGCUUCCUAUAAUCUUAAAUCCUAUCAAUUGUCGUAACAAUGUUGGUGAAUCUAGGAAAAGAUAUUCUACUCCGCUGUCCCAGCCAUUGCAGCAAAUUUUGAAAGCGUCAUAUAAUGAUAGUCAAAUUCAAGCAAUUGACUGUUGCAUUGGAUCACUAGAUUUAAACUUGGAUUUUAAUUUGUCUCUUGUACAGGGUCCUCCAGGUACUGGGAAGACUCGGACUAUUGUAGCGAUUGUCAGUGGUCUGCUUGCUUUACACCGAACAAAUGAGAAGAACAGGGAAAAUCGUAGUAAAAAAUGUGACACUUUUUCUGGCACUAGUUCAAGGACGCAUAUUAGUCAGUCUGCUGCAAUUGCAAGGGCCUGGCAAGAUGCAGCACUGGCCCGACAAAUGAAUGACAAUGAAGAAAAGAAUUGUAAACCUAAGGGUAGCACAAGCGGAAGGGUGUUAAUUUGUGCACAAUCCAAUGCCGCUGUUGAUGAAUUAGUAUCAAGAAUAUGCGCUGAAGGUUUAUAUGGUAAUGAUGGAUUGAUGUACAAGCCAUAUCUUGUUAGGGUUGGUAAUGCAAAAACAGUUCAUCCGAAUUCACUUCCUUAUUUUAUCGACACACUUGUUGAAAAUCGUAUGGCCCAGGAGAGGAUGAAUGCUAGUGUACCAGGGAAGGACACAAGUGCGGAUUCUUCAACAGUUCUGCGUUCUAAACUUGAAAAGCUAGUGGACCGUAUUCAGUUCUAUGAAGAGAAGCGUGCUAAUUUAGGGGAGGGAAACUCUGGCUCAAAAAUGUUGCCUGAAGUUGAUAGUGCAAAGGAAAUGUGUGAUGCAGAAAUUGGAGCAAGGUUGAGAAAAUUAUAUGUGGACAAAAAGGCAGUCUAUACUGAUCUUGCUGCUGCUCAGGCAAGAGAGAAGAAACUGAAUGAAGAAAGCAGAGCUCUUAAACAUAAACUGAGGAAAUCUAUUUUAAAGGAAGCUGAAAUUGUGGUAACUACAUUAAGUGGCUGUGGUGGAGAUCUAUAUACAGUUUGCGCGGAGUCCAUUUCAAACCAUAAGUUUGGCUCCCCAAAUGAACAUACUUUGUUCGAUGCUGUAGUGAUUGAUGAAGCUGCUCAAGCUUUAGAGCCUGCCACUCUGAUUCCCCUCCAGCUGUUGAAAUCAAAGGGGACCAAGUGUAUCAUGGUCGGGGAUCCAAAGCAGCUUCCAGCAACCGUAAUCUCUAACAUCGCGAGUAAAUAUAUGUAUCAGUGCAGUAUGUUUGAACGUUUACAAAGGGCUGGUCAUCCUGUCCUUAUGCUUACUAAACAGUAUAGGAUGCACCCAGAGAUCUGCAGAUUUCCUUCUCUACAUUUUUAUGAUGGCAAGUUGUUAAAUGGAGACAAUAUGUCUGUCAAUGAACUGUCAUUCCAUAAGGCUAAAGCUCUUGGACCAUAUGUAUUCUUUGAUAUUGUUGAUGGACAGGAGCUUCGCGGUAAGAAUUCUGGCGCAUCGUCCUUCUACAAUGAGUCUGAGGCUGAUGCUGCAGUUGUAUUACUCAGUUUUUUUAAACAGAGGUACCCAUCUGAAUUUAUGGGGGUAAGGAUUGGCAUAGUAACUCCUUACAAGAGUCAACUUUCCCUAUUGCGCUCCCGAUUAUCUAAUAGAUUUGGAUCUUCGGUGACUGCUGUAAUGGAAUUUAAUACUGUUGAUGGCUUUCAAGGACGGGAGGUUGAUAUACUAAUUCUUUCUACAGUCAGAGCAUCUAAAUCAUGUUCUGCAGAACUUAAGAUACACUCGCGAAAUAUUGGGUUUGUUGCUGAUGUAAGGCGGAUGAAUGUUGCUCUGACUAGAGCCAAAUUUUCUCUCUGGAUUUUGGGUCAUGCUAAAACGUUGAUGACAAACAAGAACUGGGAAGCUCUCCUUAAGGAUGCCAAAAAGAGAAAUUUGGUGAUAUCAAGUAAACAGCCAUAUGAUGCAAUCUUUAGGUCAGCUCGGAAUGAUAGUUCAGUUUUAGAAUGUUAUGAUGACCAUUCUAUACAUUUGAAGCAUACUCAAGAGGCCAAAGAAGUUGGCUGGCAUGCUGAAGAACAAUCAAGAUAUGCAAAGAGUUCCUAUGCGAAGAAAAGAAGGUCCACGAGUUCUAAUGCUUUGAAGAAUAUAAGAGAAGAUAAAAAUACUUCUCUAUCGAGGGAAGCUGGUAAAGCAAACAGUACAAAAGCCAAAAGUGAUAAUUUAUCAGCAAAAAAGGAUAUCAAGUCUGACAUUACAGCACACUCAAAAGGUGAUAAAACUAGUUGCAAAAUCGGUAAGGAUAAACAGCACAAUCUGGGAACUUCUAAUUCAGGCAGUAGAGAAGGUAGUUUGCAGGAGAUUAAGGGGAUGGAUACAGCCGGAGCUUCUAAUUCUACAGUAAACAAGAAAAGGAAACAACGUGAUGCAGUUGAUGCUAUUCUAUCUUCAGCUCUCAUAUCUUCAAAGAAGUCUGCAACCUCUGGGAAGUUAUUGCCUUCCAAAAGGCUGAAUCCUCAGAUGAAUACUAAAGUUCAAUCUUUUAGACCACCAAAAUCAGGAAAGGAUGCCGCUAGAAAUUCCAAGAAUGAUACAUAAUCAGAUUUGUGAAUACCAUGCUAUGAGAAUUCAUUUGGAGCCCUAAACGAGUUGCAUGGGUUAAGGAGCUGUUUACAGUCCAACACAACUAGACCAAAUGUAGAAGUUAACUCCACUGAACUACGUAAAGCUUGCACCACUUUCAUACAAUCAGACUCCACCACCACCUUGCUCCACUGCUUUGUUUUGACCCAGCUCAAAGCUUCCUUAACAGCUAUCACCUCUGCUAGAUCCGCGGAUGUUUUUCCGAUUUUGCUUGCCGCCUUAGCUCCUAACAAUCUUCCCGAAUGAUCACGAGCAACACACCCAAAACCAAAACAGUUUUCAUCAUCGAAAAGGGCUGCAUCCACAUUUAUCUUGAUUGUAUUUAUAUCUGGUUUCGUCCAACGCUCACAGUUUUUAGACUUUGAUUGUUGUUCCAAGUGACUUUUUCUUGUUUUCAUACAAUAUUUAGUAGGUGAAUUUCAAUUGUGCCUCUCAUUAAUGCAACUU